AACAAAAUAUUUUCAGGCUUCAAAUCUCUAUAAAUAAAUCCCAUCAAGUGGAGGUAUUCUAAUGCAGCGGUAACUUCUGCAAUGUAAAAUUUGGCCUCGUUUUCUGAUAAACAACGGCCAGGACGUCGUUGCAAAGCUCGAAAAAACUCACCUCCCAUACAAUACUCCAUACAUAAAUAAAGGUAUUCAUCAGAUUGAAAAGAAUGAUAAAGUGUAACAAUGAAUGGGUGGUUACUUGUCGCAAGAAUGUGCUGUUCUGCAAAAGCUCGUUUGCUUUUGUUGCGUUUAAUCAUUUCUUGCUUACUCAAAACUUUCAUGGCAUAAAAUUUGCCAGACUUUUUUUCUCUAACAAGAUAAACUCGACCGACAUCUCCCUUGCCAAGUAGAAAAACCUUUUCAAAGCUAGAUGGACCAACCUCAACAUCACAUAUCUUGAUAGAGUUGGAAGAAUAUGUUCUCGCUCUCGUUGCAACAGUUUUCUUAAUAUGAGCCAAUUCUUUUUCCUUCCCAUGAGGACUGAAAAUAUCUUUUAACUUUUCUCGCUGAACUGAGGUAUCAGCACCAUUACUACGAGAAACAUUUCGCGACUUGGGAACAUCUUUCUUCUUCCUCCCACUUUUAAAAAACGAUUUUUUUAUUACGGAAAUUGAAUCAGUACCACUCCCGUCACCACCUUCUGCGGAACUACCAGUGCCAUCAAUUUUGCGAUCAGACUCUUCCUCGGUCUGCGACUCAGGUGCACCAGAAGGUGAUUGAUUUGCAGCAUCGCUAUCUUCCGACGUCAAUUCUUUUUCCUUCUUUCGAGAAAAAGCAAACUUUCUGCUAUCCUUAAAAUGCAGCCUUAUGAAGGCUCGAAACUUGGAUGGCUUGGCAGUGCCGGAAUGUUUCCAGUGUCCUGUGUCAUCUUUCUUAGCUUCUUCUAGGUGAUCUUCAACAUUGAUCCUUCCUUCCUCAGAGCUCUCACCAUCAUGAAGUUCAUUCAUUUGCUUUUGAAAGUGCUACGAGUCGGUCGCAAUACAAUUCAAUUCCACUGAUAUUUUUGUGUAUGGCGGAAAGUACACCGGAUGACAUUACUGAGACACUGACACUUAUGAUAUACUAGAAAUAUAACCGACUGCGUUAUCGAUCGUUGUACCUCACAAACCGUAAGAGCAAUGUUUAUAUAGCAUACAGGAAAAUAUAUGAAGAGCAAGAAUCUGUCUAUGUUUAUUAAACCAAACAAAUCAAAAACUAUAAGUGAAAGUUAUGCAUGGAUUGCCUAGCUUCAUACAAGAGUUUUCAAAAAAGAUUUUACAUUCUAUACUUCCAAAUUAUAAUGAAAUGGACUCCUGAAACAGCAUUAAAAUAACCCAGUCAUAGUAUACAGUGAUGGAAAACAUUAAAAAAUUAUAUUCAUGAGUAACCCAACAUAAAAAUGAAUAAGAUGCCCAUGAGGCAACAAAAAGCUUUUUUAUUUAUUAAAGAUCAUAACUUACCAACGAUCACGAAUCAAACCAGUAAAACAAAACAAAGAACUCAAUAAUUGACCGCUAAGUUUAACGAAGAAAUAGCCAAGUUACGUUUCCGUUCAAUACUCUUUUCCGUAACAAGUUUGGACCACCGAUCAGCAGCCUCUUUAAUAAACGAAUCGGGUUGAAAAGAGUAUUGAACCAAAUCACUCAAAAAUGAGUAGAUGGCAGAAGAGGAAUUGCAUGCUAAAAUUUGUUGCUUUAAAGAUUUUAGAAUCGUAAGUGCAACUCUAAAUAAGCAUACAUAACCAUCACAAAACAACAUGUC
Molecule: long non-coding RNA, 1776 nt
Filed under: Schizosaccharomyces pombe (fission yeast)
Lineage: Eukaryota; Fungi; Ascomycota; Schizosaccharomycetes; Schizosaccharomycetales; Schizosaccharomycetaceae
Source: RNAcentral